UGGGGAAUUUUGCGCAAUGGGGGAAACCCUGACGCAGCAACGCCGCGUGAGUGAUGAAGGCCUUCGGGUCGUAAAGCUCUGUCAGAGGGAAAGAAGUGCGAGAGGGUUAAUACCCCUUUUGCUUGACGGUACCCUCAAAGGAAGCACCGGCUAACUCCGUGCCAGCAGCCGCGGUAAUACGGAGGGUGCGAGCGUUGUUCGGAAUUAUUGGGCGUAAAGCGCGUGUAGGCGGUCUUUUAAGUCUGAUGUGAAAGCCCCGGGCUCAACCUGGGAAGUGCAUUGGAAACUGGGAGACUUGAAUACGGGAGAGGGUAGUGGAAUUCCUAGUGUAGGAGUGAAAUCCGUAGAUAUUAGGAGGAACACCGGUGGCGAAGGCGGCUACCUGGACCGAUAUUGACGCUGAGACGCGAAAGCGUGGGGAGCAAACAG
RNAcentral lists this ribosomal RNA (429 nucleotides) under uncultured bacterium. Its description in RNAcentral is "bacterial SSU rRNA". It matches the Rfam family "Bacterial small subunit ribosomal RNA", at positions 355 to 775 of the family's 1533-position model. The record is from RNAcentral.